Molecule: non-coding RNA, 540 nt
Organism: Caretta caretta (loggerhead turtle)
Lineage: Eukaryota; Metazoa; Chordata; Testudines; Cheloniidae
Source: RefSeq, a predicted model, not a curated record
GGCGGGGAGAGCGGGGCUGCGAACCUACCCGCGGAGAGGUGCUGCCCCCUCGUCGCUGCCGGUGGCGGGAGACCGUCCCCUCAGGUUCUAGGAUGAUCUGCUCCAUGAAGCUGUUAUUUAUGGUGUCUGGAAAUUUUAUCUCUGCAUCUCUUCCUGAGGUGAUGCAUACCUAAUCACCAACAAGUGUCACCACCCUCAUUUGCUAUCCUCUUUAUUUUUCAAGCAUGGAAUUUCUGUCCACAGAGAUGCUAUAGUAGAGGGCUGCAGUCUCUACUUGAUUAUUCUGAAAAGCAACUCUAAGUUCCUCUCUUCAGUACUAACUUGUAGUGUCUCUUGUGAUCAAGUAUUCAUGGAUAGCUUGUUCCAGCAAAUGAUCCCAAUCCAAAGCAAGAAAAGAUCUUUCUAAGAAGGAAAACACAUGUUCCCCUCAAAAAUACAUUUAUUAUCUGAAAGUAUGUUUAAUUUGUAGCGAUUACUAAUCAAAAUAAACUAAAAUAACCGUUGGUACAAGUUUAAGAAAAUCAAAAAUUUGGUUUCAUU